UCUCGAAUCCGGUAGACGCUACGGACUUAAAUAAUUUGAGCGUUAGUAGAAAAACUUACUAAAUGCUAGCUUUCAGAUUCAGGGAAACUUAGGUUGAUAAAAAUAUAAGCAAUCCUGAGCCAAAUCUUAUUUCGUUUGAAAAUAAAAUAGGUGCAGAGACUCAAUGGAAGCUAUCCUAACGAAUAACAUUUUAAAAAUUAUUUAAAAUUUAUUUUUUAGAUAUUAAGCGAGGAUAAAGAUAGAGUCCAAUUUUACAUGUUAAUUUUAGCAACAAUUUAAAUUGUAGUAGAAAGAAAAUCCGUUGGCUUUAUUGACCGUGAGGGUUCAAGUCCCUCUACCCCCA
RNAcentral lists this non-coding RNA (343 nucleotides) under Sarmentypnum exannulatum. RNAcentral describes it as "partial tRNA-Leu". The stretch from base 19 to 268 matches the Rfam family "Group I catalytic intron". Rfam says of the family: Group I catalytic introns are large self-splicing ribozymes. They catalyse their own excision from mRNA, tRNA and rRNA precursors in a wide range of organisms. The core secondary structure consists of 9 paired regions (P1-P9). The record is from RNAcentral. Lineage: Eukaryota; Viridiplantae; Streptophyta; Bryopsida; Hypnales; Amblystegiaceae.